GACGAACGCUGGCGGCGUGCCUAAUACAUGCAAGUAGAACGCUGAAGAGAGGAGCUUGCUCUUCUUGGAUGAGUUGCGAACGGGUGAGUAACGCGUGGGUAACCUGCCUUGUAGCGGGGGAUAACUAUUGGAAACGAUAGCUAAUACCGCAUAACAAUGGAUGACACAUGUCAUUUAUUUGAAAGGGGCAAUUGCUCCACUACAAGAUGGACCUGCGUUGUAUUAGCUAGUAGGUGAGGUAAUGGCUCACCUAGGCGACGAUACAUAGCCGACCUGAGAGGGUGAUCGGCAACACUGGGACUGAGACACGGCCCAGACUCCUACGGGAGGCAGCAGUAGGGAAUCUUCGGCAAUGGGGGCAACCCUGACCGAGCAACGCCGCGUGAGUGAAGAAGGUUGUCGGAUCGUAAAGCUCUGUUGUAAGUCAAGAACGGGUGUGAGAGUGGAAAGUUCACACUGUGACGGUAGCUUACCAGAAAGGGACGGCUAACUACGUG
RNAcentral lists this ribosomal RNA (497 nucleotides) under uncultured bacterium. RNAcentral's name for it is "partial 16S ribosomal RNA". It matches the Rfam family "Bacterial small subunit ribosomal RNA", at positions 28 to 507 of the family's 1533-position model. The record is from RNAcentral.